This 65-nucleotide transfer RNA is filed under the name Aphrophora alni (alder spittlebug). RNAcentral describes it as "tRNA-Pro". The record is from RNAcentral. Lineage: Eukaryota; Metazoa; Arthropoda; Insecta; Hemiptera; Aphrophoridae.
CAGCAAAUAGUUUUGAUAAAAUUUAAAUUUUGGAAAUUUAAGAAGGAAUUUUUUUCUUUGCUGAA